AGUGAACGCUGGCGGUAGGCCUAACACAUGCGAGUCGAACGGCAGCACAGUAAGAGCUUGCUCUUACGGGUGGCGAGUGGCGGACGGGUGAGGAAUACAUCGGAAUCUACUUUUUCGUGGGGGAUAACGUAGGGAAACUUACGCUAAUACCGCAUACGACCUACGGGUGAAAGCAGGGGAUCUUCGGACCUUGCGCGAUUGAAUGAGCCGAUGUCGGAUUAGCUAGUUGGCGGGGUAAAGGCCCACCAAGGCGACGAUCCGUAGCUGGUCUGAGAGGAUGAUCAGCCACACUGGAACUGAGACACGGUCCAGACUCCUACGGGAGGCAGCAGUGGGGAAUAUUGGACAAUGGGCUCAAGCCUGAUCCAGCCAUACCGCGUGGGUGAAGAAGGCCUUCGGGUUGUAAAGCCCUUUUGUUGGGAAAGAAAAGCAGCAGGUUAAUACCCCGCUGUUCUGACGGUACCCAAAGAAUAAGCACCGGCUAACUUCGUG
RNAcentral lists this ribosomal RNA (492 nucleotides) under uncultured bacterium. RNAcentral's name for it is "partial 16S ribosomal RNA". It matches the Rfam family "Bacterial small subunit ribosomal RNA", at positions 29 to 507 of the family's 1533-position model. The record is from RNAcentral.